This 497-nucleotide ribosomal RNA is filed under the name uncultured bacterium. RNAcentral describes it as "partial 16S ribosomal RNA". It matches the Rfam family "Bacterial small subunit ribosomal RNA", at positions 28 to 507 of the family's 1533-position model. The record is from RNAcentral.
GAUGAACGCUGGCGGCGUGCCUAAUACAUGCCAGUCGAGCGAACAGACGAGGAGCUUGCUCCUCUGACGUUAGCGGCGGACGGGUGAGUAACACGUGGAUAACCUACCUAUAAGACUGGGAUAACUUCGGGAAACCGGAGCUAAUACCGGAUAAUAUAUUGAACCGCAUGGUUCAAUAGUGAAAGACGGUUUUGCUGUCACUUAUAGAUGGAUCCGCGCCGCAUUAGCUAGUUGGUAGGGUAACGGCUUACCAAGGCGACGAUGCGUAGCCGACCUGAGAGGGGGAUCGGCCACACUGGAACUGAGACACGGUCCAGACUCCUACGGGAGGCAGCAGUAGGGAAUCUUCCGCAAUGGGCGAAAGCCUGACGGAGCAACGCCGCGUGAGUGAUGAAGGUCUUCGGAUCGUAAAACUCUGUUAUUAGGGAAGAACAAAUGUGUAAGUAACUAUGCACGUCUUGACGGUACCUAAUCAGAAAGCCACGGCUAACUACGUG